Molecule: transfer RNA, 73 nt
Filed under: Actinomycetota bacterium
Lineage: Bacteria; Bacillati; Actinomycetota
Also listed under: 1 other name
Description: tRNA-Lys
Rfam family: tRNA
About the family: Transfer RNA (tRNA) molecules are approximately 80 nucleotides in length. Their secondary structure includes four short double-helical elements and three loops (D, anti-codon, and T loops).
Source: RNAcentral
GGGCUGCUAGCUCAACUGGCAGAGCAGCGGACUUUUAAUCCGCGGGUUCAGGGUUCGAUCCCCUGGCGGCCCA